CUGGCGCAAACCAGGGAUCCGCAGCCUCCCUCUGCCCUCAGCGCAGUCUCACACUCCGCUUGAGCGCGAGGAUCUGCACUGACUCUCUGGGUAAAUCAGUUAAUCCCUGGUUUGGGAGGAAGGAUGAUCAUAAGGUCACCUGGUGUCCCAUGAUCCUGUGUUGUUUGUUGAGACCCAGAAGCUCCCAGGUGGUUCUCAAGAGAAAGCUUUCAGUGUUGCUGCAGCAUCAGAUGGACCCUGGGGAGAGCUUGGUGGGAAUGAGCAGCUCCGCACUGUGUAGCAAGACAGAUGGGACACACAGGCCAGGUGACCGGUCUUCCUUCUGAUCUCAACAUGGAACUAAGUCUUCCUGGGACACUGGGAGAGUGAUCCCCUGCCCUCUUCCCAGGCAGCACCUAAGUACUGAGGCUCUUGACUGCGAAGGUGUUAGCCAAGUCUGUGAAGCCGGAGACUGUUGCAUAAAAGCUGUUUUAUGGCUUUUGUCUCAACUCUUCUGGAGCCAGGCUUGGCACAGUAGGAGAGUCAGAGGGAGGGUGCUCUGGGGAAGCUUGUGCCCUGCAUCCCUGUAGUCUGAAGCACCCCUUCCUCUCCCUCCCAGCUGCACAGCUGCAUGUUCCAUCUCUCCCACACUGGAUGUACAGCCGAGGAUCUGACUUCUGAGUCAGCCACACCCCUCUUCACUUAACAGAAAAAUCAGGGUCUUCGAAGAUUUAUCAAGUGAUACAAUGAACUAGGGCAAAUAUCUCACAGUGGUGAAAACCUAUUAGUUUAGAAAUGAUCGUGAUAUUAUAAUAUUGUUUAUUUACUUACUGUAACAGUUGAAGCAAGGUGUUUAUUAGAUGUGAAGAAAUAUACACAUGCAACAGACGCAAAGAGAAAGAUCCUCUGCAAAGCAGAGAGAGGCAGGACUCAUAAAGCCGA
Mus musculus (house mouse) is the source of this 921-nucleotide long non-coding RNA. RefSeq annotates it as predicted gene, 36237. The transcript has 3 exons. Lineage: Eukaryota; Metazoa; Chordata; Mammalia; Rodentia; Muridae. The record is from RefSeq and is a predicted model, not a curated record.